This 497-nucleotide ribosomal RNA is filed under the name uncultured bacterium. RNAcentral's name for it is "partial 16S ribosomal RNA". It matches the Rfam family "Bacterial small subunit ribosomal RNA", at positions 28 to 507 of the family's 1533-position model. The record is from RNAcentral.
GAUGAACGCUGGCGGCGUGCCUAAUACAUGCAAGUCGAGCGAACAGACGAGGAGCUUGCUCCUCUGACGUUAGCGGCGGACGGGUGAGUAACACGUGGAUAACCUACCUAUAAGACUGGGAUAACUUCGGGAAACCGGAGCUAAUACCGGAUAAUAUAUUGAACCGCAUGGUUCAAUAGUGAAAGACGGUUUUGCUGUCACUUAUAGAUGGAUCCGCGCCGCAUUAGCUAGUUGGUAAGGUAACGGCUUACCAAGGCAACGAUGCGUAGCCGACCUGAGAGGGUGAUCGGCCACACGGGAAGUGAGACACGGUCCAGACUCCUACGGGAGGCAGCAGUAGGGAAUCUUCCGCAAUGGGCGAGAGCUUGACGGAGCAACGCCGCGUGAGUGAUGAAGGUCUUCGGAUCGUAAAACUAUGUUAUUAGGGAAGAACAAAUGUGUAAGUAACUAUGCACGUCUUGACGGUACCUGAUCAGAAAGCCACGGCUAACUACGUG